Molecule: ribosomal RNA, 720 nt
Filed under: uncultured bacterium
Lineage: Bacteria
Description: bacterial SSU rRNA
Rfam family: Bacterial small subunit ribosomal RNA
Source: RNAcentral
GAUGAACGCUGGCGGCGUGCCUAACACAUGCAAGUCGAGCGAUCUUCUUCGGAAGAGAGCGGCGGACGGGUGAGUAACGCGUGGGUAACCUGCCCUGUACACACGGAUAACAUACCGAAAGGUAUGCUAAUACGGGAUGACAUAUGAAAGUCGCAUGGCUUUUAUAUCAAAGCUCCGGCGGUACAGGAUGGACCCGCGUCUGAUUAGCUAGUUGGUAAGGUAACGGCUUACCAAGGCGACGAUCAGUAGCCGACCUGAGAGGGUGAUCGGCCACACUGGAACUGAGACACGGUCCAGACUCCUACGGGAGGCAGCAGUGGGGAAUAUUGCACAAUGGGCGAAAGCCUGAUGCAGCAACGCCGCGUGAGCGAUGAAGGCCUUCGGGUCGUAAAGCUCUGUCCUCAAGGAAGAUAAUGACGGUACUUGAGGAGGAAGCCCCGGCUAACUACGUGCCAGCAGCCGCGGUAAUACGUAGGGGGCUAGCGUUAUCCGGAAUUACUGGGCGUAAAGGGUGCGUAGGCGGUCUUUCAAGCCAGAAGUGAAAGGCUACGGCUCAACCGUAGUAAGCUUUUGGAACUGUAGGACUUGAGUGCAGGAGAGGAGAGUAGAAUUCCUAGUGUAGCGGUGAAAUGCGUAGAUAUUAGGAGGAAUACCAGUAGCGAAGGCGGCUCUCUGGACUGUAACUGACGCUGAGGCACGAAAGCGUGGGGAGCAAACAGG